GACGAACGCUGGCGGCGUGCCUAAUACAUGCAAGUAGAACGCACAGUUUAUACCGUAGCUUGCUACACCAUGGACUGUGAGUUGCGAACGGGUGAGUAACGCGUAGGUAACCUGCCUGGUAGCGGGGGAUAACUAUUGGAAACGAUAGCUAAUACCGCAUAAUAUUGAUUAUUGCAUGAUAAUUAAUUGAAAGGUGCAAUUGCACCACUACCAGAUGGACCUGCGUUGUAUUAGCUAGUAGGUGAGGUAACGGCUCACCUAGGCGACGAUACAUAGCCGACCUGAGAGGGUGAUCGGCCACACUGGGACUGAGACACGGCCCAGACUCCUACGGGAGGCAGCAGUAGGGAAUCUUCGGCAAUGGACGAAAGUCUGACCGAGCAACGCCGCGUGAGUGAAGAAGGUUUUCGGAUCGUAAAGCUCUGUUGUAAGAGAAGAACGGGUGUGAGAGUGGAAAGUUCACACUGUGACGGUAUCUUACCAGAAAGGGACGGCUAACUACGUG
Molecule: ribosomal RNA, 505 nt
Filed under: uncultured bacterium
Lineage: Bacteria
Description: partial 16S ribosomal RNA
Rfam family: Bacterial small subunit ribosomal RNA
Source: RNAcentral